UACGUAGGGUGCGAGCGUUGUCCGGAUUUAUUGGGCGUAAAGAGCUCGUAGGCGGCUCGGUAAGUCGGGUGUGAAACCUCCAGGCUCAACCUGGAGACGCCACCCGAUACUGCUGUGGCUAGAGUCCGGUAGGGGAGCGUGGAAUUCCUGGUGUAGCGGUGAAAUGCGCAGAUAUCAGGAAGAACACCCGUGGCUAAGGCGGCUCUCUAGUACGGUACUGACGCUGAGACGCGAAAGCGUGGGGAGCGAACAGG
Molecule: ribosomal RNA, 254 nt
Filed under: uncultured bacterium
Lineage: Bacteria
Description: partial 16S ribosomal RNA
Rfam family: Bacterial small subunit ribosomal RNA
Source: RNAcentral